UACGUAGGCAGCGAGCGUUGUUCGGAGUUACUGGGCGUAAAGGGUGUGUAGGCGGUUGUUUAAGUUUGGUGUGAAAUCUCCCGGCUCAACUGGGAGGGUGCGCCGAAUACUGAGCGACUAGAGUGCGGGAGAGGAAAGUGGAAUUCCUGGUGUAGCGGUGGAAUGCGCAGAUAUCAGGAAGAACACCCGUGGCGAAGGCGGCUCUCUGGAACGCAACUGACGCUGAGACGCGAAAGCGUGGGGAGCAAACAGG
RNAcentral lists this ribosomal RNA (253 nucleotides) under uncultured prokaryote. RNAcentral describes it as "partial 16S ribosomal RNA". It matches the Rfam family "Bacterial small subunit ribosomal RNA", at positions 524 to 776 of the family's 1533-position model. The record is from RNAcentral.